UUACCGAGUGAGGGCCCUCUGGGUCCACCUCCCACCCGUGUUUAUCGUACCUUGUUGCUUCGGCGGGCCCGCCGCAAGGCCGCCGGGGGGCAUCUGCCCUCUGGCCCGCGCCCGCCGAAGACACCAUUGAACGCUGUCUGAAGAUUGCAGUCUGAGCAAUUAGUUAAAUAACUUAAAACUUUCAACAACGGAUCUCUUGGUUCCGGCAUCGAUGAAGAACGCAGCGAAAUGCGAUACGUAAUGUGAAUUGCAGAAUUCAGUGAAUCAUCGAGUCUUUGAACGCACAUUGCGCCCCCUGGUAUUCCGGGGGGCAUGCCUGUCCGAGCGUCAUUGCUGCCCUCAAGCACGGCUUGUGUGUUGGGCUCCGUCCUCCUUCCGGGGGACGGGCCCGAAAGGCAGCGGCGGCACCGCGUCCGGUCCUCGAGCGUAUGGGGCUUCGUCACCCGCUCUGCAGGCCCGGCCGGCGCUUGCCGACACAUCAAUCUUUUUUCCAGGUUGACCUCGGAUCAGGUAGGGAUACCCGCUGAACUUAAGCAUAUCAAUAAGCGGAGGAAAAGAAACCAACAGGGAUUGCCCCAGUAACGGCGAGUGAAGCGGCAAGAGCUCAAAUUUGAAAGCUGGCCCCCUCGGGGUCCGCAUUGUAAUUUGCAGAGGAUGCUUCGGGAGUGGCCCCCAUCUAAGUGCUCUGGAACGGGCCGUCAUAGAGGGUGAGAAUCCCGUAUGGGAUGGGGUGUCCGCGACCAUGUGAAGCUCCUUCGACGAGUCGAGUUGUUUGGGAAUGCAGCUCUAAAUGGGUGGUAAAUUUCAUCUAAAGCUAAAUAUUGGCCGGAGACCGAUAGCGCACAAGUAGAGUGAUCGAAAGAUGAAAAGCACUUUGAAAAGAGAGUUAAAAAGCACGUGAAAUUGUUGAAAGGGAAGCGCUUGCGACCAGACUCGCCUACGGGGUUCAGCCGGUAUUCGUACCGGUGUACUUCCCCGUGGGCGGGCCAGCGUCGGUUUGGGCGGCCGGUCAAAGGCCCUCGGAAUGUAACGCCUCUCGGGGCGUCUUAUAGCCGAGGGUGCCAUGCGGCCAGCCCGGACCGAGGAACGCG
Molecule: ribosomal RNA, 1091 nt
Filed under: fungal endophyte
Lineage: Eukaryota; Fungi
Description: eukaryotic LSU rRNA
Rfam family: Eukaryotic large subunit ribosomal RNA (bases 497-1091)
Source: RNAcentral